Leuconostoc citreum KM20 is the source of this 359-nucleotide non-coding RNA. NCBI's taxonomy places the organism in Bacteria, Bacillati, Bacillota, Bacilli, Lactobacillales, Lactobacillaceae. The record is from Rfam.
GGGGUCGUUUUUGGAAUUCGACAGGCUAUUUAGGGCAUUGACUGCGUUUCGCCAUCCGGGCGUAAAAACGGGCAGACAUUUUAACUGCAAAAAAUGAAAACUCUUUCGCAAUCGCUGCUUAAAACACAGUGAAGCGUAACUUGGCUUUGGUUGCUGGCGUCUGAAGUCAGGUCAUAGAAGGUCAGAUCGUUUGUGUAUUUACAUCUGGAGUACAUGAAUUAAAUGAAUCAGGUUAGUGUCUUGUGUGAGCCUCGUUUUGUGGCGUUACAGGGCAUGAAAAUUAAAUGACAAGACUAUAAGCGUAGAUGUUGAUGUACCGGGUGGCUUGGACAGGGGUUCGACUCCCCUCGACUCCACUA